RNAcentral lists this small nucleolar RNA (92 nucleotides) under Carlito syrichta (Philippine tarsier). RNAcentral's name for it is "Small nucleolar RNA SNORD116 (ENSTSYG00000027165.1)". It matches the Rfam family "Small nucleolar RNA SNORD116". Rfam says of the family: HBII-85 is a member of the C/D class of snoRNAs, which contain the C (UGAUGA) and D (CUGA) box motifs. HBII-85 is encoded in a tandemly repeated array with another C/D snoRNA, HBII-52, in the Prader-Willi syndrome (PWS) region of chromosome 15. The record is from Rfam by way of RNAcentral. Lineage: Eukaryota; Metazoa; Chordata; Mammalia; Primates; Tarsiidae.
GGAUUGCUUAUGACUCCCCAAUAUAAAUUCCUUGGAAGUCUGAACAAAAUGAAUGAAAACUCUAUCCCGUCAUCUUCACUGAACUGAGGUCC